AAUAGAUACCCCGGUAGUCCAUGCCGUAAACGUUGGGAACUAGGUGUGGGUCUCAUUCCACGAGAUCCGUGCCGCAGCUAACGCAUUAAGUUCCCCGCCUGGGGAGUACGGCCGCAAGGCUAAAACUCAAAGGAAUUGACGGGGGCCCGCACAAGCGGCGGAGCAUGCGGAUUAAUUCGAUGCAACGCGAAGAACCUUACCAAGGCUUGACAUACACCGGAAUCACUCAGAGAUGGGUGCGUCUUCGGACUGGUGUACAGGUGGUGCAUGGUUGUCGUCAGCUCGUGUCGUGAGAUGUUGGGUUAAGUCCCGCAACGAGCGCAACCCUCGUUCUAUGUUGCCAGCACGUGAUGGUGGGGACUCAUAGGAGACUGCCGGGGUCAACUCGGAGGAAGGUGGGGAUGACGUCAAAUCAUCAUGCCCCUUAUGUCUUGGGCUUCACGCAUGCUACAAUGGCCGUACAAGGACGUGCGAACGCGAGUGGAGCGAAUCCAAAAACCGGUACCGUCAGUUCGGUAUAGGGUCGUGCGAACC
This 534-nucleotide ribosomal RNA is filed under the name uncultured bacterium. RNAcentral's name for it is "bacterial SSU rRNA". It matches the Rfam family "Bacterial small subunit ribosomal RNA", at positions 777 to 1313 of the family's 1533-position model. The record is from RNAcentral.